This 236-nucleotide ribosomal RNA is filed under the name uncultured bacterium. RNAcentral's name for it is "partial 16S ribosomal RNA". It matches the Rfam family "Bacterial small subunit ribosomal RNA", at positions 15 to 235 of the family's 1533-position model. The record is from RNAcentral.
GAUCAUGGCUCAGGAUGAACGCUGGCGGCGUGCCUAACACAUGCAAGUCGAACGAAGCAAUUGAAGGAAGUUUUCGGAUGGAAUUCGAUUGACUGAGUGGCGGACGGGUGAGUAACGCGUGGAUAACCUGCCUCACACUGGGGGAUAACAGUUAGAAAUGACUGCUAAUACCGCAUAAGCGCACAGUACCGCAUGGUACGGUGUGAAAAACUCCGGUGGUGUGAAAUGGAUCCGCG